This 247-nucleotide ribosomal RNA is filed under the name uncultured bacterium. RNAcentral describes it as "partial 16S ribosomal RNA". It matches the Rfam family "Bacterial small subunit ribosomal RNA", at positions 90 to 334 of the family's 1533-position model. The record is from RNAcentral.
AGUGAGUGGCGAACGGGUGAGUAACACGUGAGUAACCUGCCCUCUUCUUUGGGAUAACGCCCGGAAACGGGUGCUAAUACUGGAUAUUCACUGAUCUUCGCAUGGGGGUUGGGUGGAAAGGUUUUUUCUGGUGGGGGAUGGGCUCGCGGCCUAUCAGCUUGUUGGUGGGGUGAUGGCCUACCAAGGCUUUGACGGGUAGCCGGCCUGAGAGGGUGACCGGUCACAUUGGGACUGAGAUACGGCCCAG